Non-coding RNA from Cherax quadricarinatus, 4135 nucleotides. The record is from RefSeq and is a predicted model, not a curated record. NCBI's taxonomy places the organism in Eukaryota, Metazoa, Arthropoda, Malacostraca, Decapoda, Parastacidae.
CCUGGCUGUCUUCAAGACCCCUGGUUGUCUUCAAGACCCCUGGCUGUCUUCAAGACCCCUGGUUGUCUUCAAGACCCCUGGCUGUCUUCAAGACCCCUGGUUGUCUUCAAGCAGGCACUGGACAGGCACCUAAAGUCAGUACCUGACCAGCCGGGCUGUGGUUGGUACAUUGGACUGUGUGCGGCUAGUAAUAACAGCCUGGUUGAUCAGGCCCUGGUCCACCAUGAGGCCUGGUCACAGAACGGGCCACGAGGGCGUUGACCCCCGGAACUAUCUCCAGGUAUACUCCAGGUAUACACAGCAGCAUAUGUGUAGAGAACCUGGGAUAACCUAAAAAAGUCAGUGACUUAUUUCCAUUGGCCAGUAGGCCUGCUGCAGUGCUCCUCCAAUCUUAUAUUCAUACGUUUCUGUACAGUAGAACCCGCAUAUGCAGAGAUUCGGUUUCUACAGUUUCGGUUAUCCACGGUUUACCGUGGCCUGAACAUAUCCUUAAUUUAGCUUAAUAAUGUUGGUAAGACAUGACAGUAGUGAUGGUGGCAGUUGUUCAGAGUCUAAGACAAGCCAUCAAGUGCUUCUCAUUAGUAAAAAAGUGAUAAUUCUCCACUUACUGUGUGUAAUUUAUCAAUUAAACUUCAUCAUAGGCCUAUCAGAAUGUGGGAGCCAAGAUACAAGAGGACCUAUCAGAAGCACCGGUGAUCAUAGGGGUGAAGCAGGUGCCCAUUGAUCAGCUUAUACCAAACAGAACAUACUGUUUCUUCUCUCACACUAUUAAAGCCCAGGAAGCCAACAUGCCGCUCCUUGAUGCUAUUUUAGAGAAGAACAUCCGGUUGCUGGACUAUGAGCGUAUGUGUGACAGGCAAGGCCAGCAUGUGGUGGCGUUUGGCAAGUAUACUGGAGUUGCUGGCAUGAUCAACAUUCUUAAUGGGCUUGGUCUUUGUCUCCUAAUACUUGGGCAUCACACACCCUUCAUGAUAUGCUACUACUUGGGCAUCACACACCCUUUGUGCACAUUGGACCCGCCCAUAAUUACCGCAACACAGAGAUGGCAAGACAGUCAAUUCGUGACACCGGCUAUGAAAUUUCGCUGGGCAUGAUGCCGAAAUCCAUUGGUUCUCUGAUGUUCAUCUUCACCGGCACUGGGAACGUGUCACAGGGGGCCCAGGAGAUAGUUCAGGAGCUGCCCCGUGAGUAUGUCUCUGUGAAGGCGUUGAAGAAAGUCACUGAACAUGGAGGUAAGUCAUUAGAUGAAUCUGAAACUCCUGAACGAAAGGACCGGAUAGGGAUUCAAACUGCUGUACAUGGGGUGAGUAAUGAUGAGUGACCUAACUGGUCACACCUCCACCACUAACUGGUCACACCACCACCACUAACUGGUCACACCUCCACCACUAACUGGUCACACCUCCACCACUAACUGGUCACAGACUGUACCAUGAUUACUGGAUGAAGGUUCAGACCUACACCACUAACCGGGCACAGACAAAGUUAAAUGUUUAUUUCAGCUUAAUACAAUGUUUGUACAGAGAUGGUUGACAUGAUACAAUGUUUGUACAGUGAUGGGUGACAUGAUACAAUGUACAGUGAUGGGUGACAUGAUACAAUGUACAGUGAUGGGUGACAUGAUAGUGCUUGUACAGUGAUGAUUGACAUGAUAGUGCUUGUACAGUGAUGGGUGACAUGAUAUAAUGUAGUGAUGGGUGAUAUGAUACAAUGUUUGUACAGUGAUGGGUGACAUGAUACAGUGCUUGUACAAUGAUGGGUGACAUGAUACAAUGUUUGUACAGUGAUGGGUGACAUGAUACAAUGUACAGUGAUGGUUGACAUGAUACAAUGUGUGUACAGUGAUGGUUGACAUGAUGCAAUGUGUGUACAGUGAUGGUUGACAUGAUACAGUGCUUGUACAAUGAUGAUUGGCAUGAUAGUGAUUGUACAGUGAUGGGUGACAUGAUACAGUGCUUGUACAGUGAUGGUUGACAUGAUAGUGCUUGUACAGUGAUGGGUGACAUGAUACAGUGCUUGUACAAUGAUGGGUGACAUGAUAAGUAAGUAAGUAAGUAAGUUUAUUCAGGUAUACACAAAUACAGUUACAUAGAAUUAUCAUACAUAGCAGCAUAUGUGUAGAGAACCUGGGAUAACCCAAAAAAGUCAGAGUGACUUAUUUCCAUUGGGGUCCUUUGAUACAGUGCUUGUACAGUGAUGGUUAACAUGUUACAGUGCUUGUACAGUGAUGGGUGACAUUUAGGUGUGCAAGCAGGAAGCUCAUAGUCAUGCAGAGCAUUUUGGGUUCAAUUUACAAUAUUUUGACUUUACAACAGUUCGACUUACGAGAGUUCAACUUUACGAUGGUGUAGCAGCAAUUACUUUGGAGAUGAAACUUAAGAUAAUUACACGACAUGAAGGUAACUUGUAUUCAUUCAUUUACUUUUUAAUACUGGUACAGCCUCUCCUCACUUAACGAUGGAGUUCCAUUCAUGAGACCACGUCAUUAAACAAAUUCGUCGCUAAGUGAGGAGCAUAUUAUAAUGGUAGUGGGUUUGUGUCAACCAAUACAGCAGUGUACUGUAUAUUGUAAUAAACAGAAGAGAGGAAAUCAGCUCUAAUAUACAUUAUUUAGGUAUGAAUACUGGUCAGAGAGCCCAUUGUAAGUCCAAGGCAUCGGUAAAGGAGUACGUCGCUAAGUGAGGAGAGGCUGUAUUUAGUUAGUUACAGUAAUUAUUUGUUUAUUUACUGAUUGAAUGACAGUAGUUAUUAACCCUUUGACUGUUUCAGGCCCCUCUCUGAAACUGUCAUUCUAUGUCGCUCAAUUUUUGAAAAAAAAAAAAUUAUUUUUUCUUAUGAAAUGAUAGAGAAUCUUUUCCCGAUGGUAAUGACACCAAAAGUUCGAAAUUUGGUCGAAAACUCGUGGAAUUAUGCUCCCGCGAAGUUAGCGGUCUCGGCGACAUAUGCGUAUCGGCGAUUUCGCCGACUUUGAGCCCUAUUUUCAGCCAAUUCCAUUGUUCCAGUUGACCAAACUCAUAGCUAUUUCUUUAGAACUCCAUUUUAUCUAUCAGCUGAGUACAAGAAACCUCCAAUUUACUAAUUUGGACUACCCAAUAUGAUGGUCAGAAAUUGGCAAUUUGGCCAAUUUCACACAAACUAAAAAAGAAGCCAAUUUCAAAAUAGGGUCCAGAAUAAACAAGAUAGACAUUCGUGGCACUAAAAUAACAUAUGCUCUGUUCAUUAGUCACAUCUCUAGGCCCCUCUUAUAUUAUUAUUGCUUUCUAUUUUGAUUUUUUAUUCAUACAAAAAAAUACAAAAUUUACUGUUAUGCAGACGACUGCAUUAUUGUAAAAAUGGUAUAAAUAAUAUCAGUGCACUAGUGAAAGAAUAUUAGACUCCCCAGUUGACGUGUAUUGGACGUGUGGUGUGAUUUAUUUACUCUUGAACAUUGGUAAAAAUCGAACAUUUCCACUACUUUGAGCUCAGUUUCAAGGUCGUUUUCAUCGUAAAAGUAAUGAAAAUCAUCUCUAUUUCUGUAAUAUGUUUUCCAUUUUAUCACCUAAGACCAUGAAAACGCGAAUACAACGAUAAAUACUAUACGAAAAUACACCUCAAAGUCGGCGUUUUAUUCCAAAAAAACGAUCAGAGUUUUUUUUUUCUCAUUACGCAAUGUGUGCUGCAGGAUUUUUUUUAAUGUGGUGCACACUGACCACACAGACGCAUUCUCUCACAUGUGGGCCUACCAGCUUUCUCCUGCUUGAUUUGAAGCCGCUAGAAUUAUUGAGUAUAUAUACGUCAGAAACAUUGGCUCGUAAGACGUAUUUAUACGUCGAAAACAGUCAAAGGGUUAAUUUGUUAUUUAUUUAGCAUAACAUAUUUAUAUUCUCCUAUGACAUUUUCAACUUACGAUGGGUUCGUUAGAACAUAAUCCCAUCGUAAGUCAAGGAGCACCUUCCUGUGCCUUUAACAGUGAUGUUUCUACUGUUGGUGCAAUUCUAAACUUUUGAUCAUGUUGGUGCUUGAAAAUAAAGAAUGAGCGAGUGUUUUGGUUGUAAGAAUUGUUUAGCAUGACAGAUAAUAAUAAUAAUAAUAAUAAUAAUACAUAAUAAUAAUAAUAAUAAUAAUAAUAAUCUUUAUUUCUGCAAGUUCAUGUACA